RNAcentral lists this transfer RNA (66 nucleotides) under Cordulegaster boltonii (golden-ringed dragonfly). RNAcentral's name for it is "tRNA-His". Lineage: Eukaryota; Metazoa; Arthropoda; Insecta; Odonata; Cordulegastridae. The record is from RNAcentral.
AUUUAAAUAGUUUAAGGAAAAAAUUUUGAUUUGUGGUGUCAAAGAUGUAUAAUUAUACUUUAAAUC